GCCUUCUUCUACUUCUCAAGGAUUACCAGCUUGGUAACAGCAAAAGCCAAGAGGGGGGAGAAAAAGUGUAUCCACGUUAAGCAAUUGGAUUGACCCAGAUUUUCUAGAAGAGCAAUUUCCACUCAACCUAAGAUAAACCCCAGCCAAGCUUCCUCACGCCUUAGAUGAAAGAGGUUGUACUUUGUUUUGUCAACUGAUAAUGCCAUUUCACACAGACCAACAGCAGAUUGAAAGUAUCAAAGAUGAGGAAUAAGAUGUAGAAGUUCCUAAUUGUUGAGGGAUUGCAGGAGGAAUGAGGAAGAGAGAAUCUCGAAUGUACAUCUGAAG
This is a long non-coding RNA of Prionailurus viverrinus (fishing cat), 327 nucleotides long. RefSeq lists it as uncharacterized. The record is from RefSeq and is a predicted model, not a curated record. The transcript is spliced from 3 exons. NCBI's taxonomy places the organism in Eukaryota, Metazoa, Chordata, Mammalia, Carnivora, Felidae.